AGCAGGUCAAGAUCUGGCCUUAUAUGUGCUGAGGAGCCCUCUAAGAAGUGCUUCUCUGACUGUACAGUUCUCUUCUCUACAGCUGCUAAUGUCUGUGGGCUUGGGCUCACCAGUUCACUUGGGCAGGGUGUCCCUCCCAGUGAUCUGAGAUCUUCAGGCUCUUACCAGCUCCUUGUUUGCUUAAGGAUGCUCUUGGGAUAAAGGACUCUUGGGUGGGUGUCUUAGUUUCACUAUAUUUUUUUAAAGAAAUCCUUCAGAAUAAAAUGAAGGGCAAUUUGAAAAGGCUUCCAAUCUAGUUUUUACUCCUAUGGUUUUUCCUUUGUCUUGACAGUUAUGGCUCAGAAUCUAUAGCAGUAUUCAGCGUAGCCAUCAACAUCCCACUGCAGACAUUCCCAAGUAUCAAAUUUUCCAUCUGUAAAACCAGAAUAAUCUGAGCACGCUCCCAGAGAAGGGCUGCAGUGUGUGGGAAGUGCCCUGAAGCUGAUCCUACAGGGCGCGUUGUGAGAUGGCACCAAUGCUAACACGUCCUUUAACUUGGCAGGGUUAAAUGCGCUGAUGGCUGUUUGCCAUUGAUGUGGCCAUGCAGCCUUCUGAUCAGAAUAAGGCUUGGGGGCUCAUGGGGUCUACCCAUGACAUCGGGUAGACGUGCUCGGUGGUUUUUCACAGGGGGAGGUGCACUGGAAAUGCACAAUAUUAUGAAACGAAACCUCUCUUAAUUUCACCUGUCACUAGUAAUUAAAAUGUAAGUGCAGUGUUGCUAAUUGUGUUUUGAACAAUAUAAUUCUAAGAUAAAAUAAAUGCAAGCUCCAAGUGUUCAGCACAGCUCUAAGACAAGAAUUAAUGUGUUUCACCAGGGAAGGGGGACUUAUGCUGAUGGUGAGAAUCGGCGCUAUCUUUCUAAAGGCAAGAGCAGUUACAGACCCACUGUUCAUUACUUUGGAUGUGUCACAUUUGCUAGUAUGACAAGAUGUAUUAUGGACGAGGAAUUUUACAGAUGGAGAGAAACAUCCAUCGGUCGGACAGAAAUUUCAAGCAACAGUUCUUGGAAACCAUAUGGGGAUCAGCCUGGGAGUUCUGCAAGCUCUCCCAUGUAUUCCUGCAUACGUGCUAUGAUUUUUAUUGUCUGAACUCUAGUGGAUAAUUGAAGAAAAACUAUAUGGAAUUACAAAGGCUGUUUCCCAGCGCUCUGUUUUACAUACACACGCUAUAAAUACACGAUUUAACAUUCGCACACUUGAUUUUUCUUGCUUCUAUUAAAAAUGACGACAAGAUUUUAAAACAAAUGCAUUGUGCUGUAGCUUAAACAAAGAAUGGGACUGCGGGUCUCUUGCCCCCUCUGAACUCAGCAGUACUUUGUUGAUCAAACUUUACACAAAAACGGCUUCACCAUCACGUAUCUUGAACUGCUUGACUUCUCUCCACUUCCUAUACUGCAAACUGAAAUGGUAAAGCUGCUGUUGUUUGCCAUAACACAAGUUCAGGAUUGGACGUGCUCUGUACACUGGGCUCUCUUUUUGUGCUGGCGUCGUCAUGGGGGUCGAUGGAGAUCUAAGAGGGUAUUAAAAAGUGGUGAUUGUUGCAUGUGUUCCUCGCUUUCCGACAUCAAUCUCCUUCUGUAAAGGCAAGUUUAAUAACAGGCGUUUGUUGUACCGAAGUACUUCUAAAUGAACGGGUGAAGAUAAUCACAUGGUGAGGGCUGUCUUCUUCGGCCUGCAUGAUAACACUCCACUCAGGCCCUGGGACCGGACCGAGGUAAACUGACAUAGGGAUUAACUGACAAUAGCAAAGGCUAAUUUACAGAAACCACAUGAGGAGUUCCUGAGCACAGCCCAGAUAACAAAAAUAUUAUCAACACUGUUUACAGUGAAGUAAGUCAGUUUAUUAGUUGGAGUGCUUCAUUAUGUAUAAAAGAUGCCAAUGAUAGUCUCCUAGUCAAAAUAAACAGGCAUAAAGUGUUCCGCGUAUACA
Molecule: long non-coding RNA, 1968 nt
Organism: Chrysolophus pictus (golden pheasant)
Lineage: Eukaryota; Metazoa; Chordata; Aves; Galliformes; Phasianidae
Source: Ensembl